UUAGGAAUCUUCCACAAUGGGGGCAACCCUGAUGGAGCAAUACCGCGUGCAGGAAGACGCUUUUCGGAGUGUAAACUGCUUUUGUCGUCGAAGAUUAUGACGGUAGACGACGAAUAAGGACCGGCUAAUUACGUGCCAGCAGCCGCGGUAAUACGUAAGGUCCAAGCGUUAUCCGGAAUUACUGGGCGUAAAGCGUACGUAGGCGGCCUACUAAGUUGGGUGCGAAAUCUUGCGGCUCAACCGUAUAGACUGUACUCAAUACUGAUAGGCUAGAGUGUAGUAGAGGCAAGCGGAAUUUGUGGUGUAGGGGUAAUAUCCGUAGAUAUCACAAGGAACACCAAUGGCGAAGGCAGCUUGCUGGGCUAUUACUGACGCUGAGGUACGAAAGCGUGGGGAGCGAACGGG
This 405-nucleotide ribosomal RNA is filed under the name uncultured bacterium. RNAcentral's name for it is "bacterial SSU rRNA". It matches the Rfam family "Bacterial small subunit ribosomal RNA", at positions 355 to 776 of the family's 1533-position model. The record is from RNAcentral.